Molecule: long non-coding RNA, 164 nt
Organism: Nothoprocta perdicaria
Lineage: Eukaryota; Metazoa; Chordata; Aves; Tinamiformes; Tinamidae
Exons: 2
Source: RefSeq, a predicted model, not a curated record
UGGUGCUGUGGAAGAGGAGCUGGCGGGCGGGAGCCAGCAUCCACAGGGUGAAGAGGCAGUCCUGAAACCAGCUGAAGGGGAAAUACCGGAGGCUUUGAAUAUUCCUCUGGAAAAUGACCACCAGGAUAAUGAAUACUACACACCUGUUCUAUUUUAAUUUUUUU